RNAcentral lists this long non-coding RNA (5269 nucleotides) under Homo sapiens (human). RNAcentral's name for it is "HSALNT0048171". The record is from RNAcentral. Lineage: Eukaryota; Metazoa; Chordata; Mammalia; Primates; Hominidae.
GUGAGGGUGGGGGGCCACGGGGGGGCACUGCGGCUACAGAGCCCCGAGUGGGAGGCCGGGGGGAGGCGGGGGCGCCGGAGCUGGGCUGCCUCUUACCUAUCAGGUAAGACUGACCCACGGGAGGGAGGUUUCUAGUCAAGGCUGUUUCCCCCAGGAAAUUUAAAAGCUAGAUUUCGGCUUCAGGGCGAUAGGCCAUGGUGAGGGGAUCUGUAUUUUUUAAGGUUUUUCUAAAGGACUUCUGGGCCAGCCUUCCACCUUGGGAUCCCCAGAUUUGCUGCCGUGAGGUACCUGGAAGGAACAGAGGGACGCCCAAGGGCAGUGACUGGGGGCAGUUAUGGUCACUACAAAAGGAGAACAGGGAUCCCCAGGAAGUGUCUCACGUCCGGCGCUGUGGAAUUAGUUGCUGAUCAAGUAGGGAGAAAAUGAAAUUAAAAUUUUAAGGGCUAAUUCCCCUUCAUUCAAGAAAUAUUUACUGUGAUGAAGACAUGUUCCAUGCAGAGGAAAUGGCCAAUGCAAAGAGCCCCUGACUGGAGGGCAUUUGGCACAUUCUAGGAGAGUGAGGAGGAUUCUAUGGGCCAGGAAUUCAGACAGGGCACAGUGUUGAUGGCUUGUCUGUGUCCUGGCUGGGAUGGCUCAAAUGGUUGUGGGACUAUUUGACUUGAAAGGCUGGAGCCUGGAAUCAUUUGAAACAUUGUUCACUCAUGUGUCUGGCACCUGCGUUAGAAUGACUGAAGGCUACAUCAACUAGAGUACUUACAUCCGGUCUCUCCAUGUGACUUGGACUUUUCACAGCGUGGAGGCUGGAUUUCAAAGGUCAACUGAGAAUGGCAGAGGACUCAUCCCACCUUUGCCACAUGGUGACUUGCCCCACUCCCCCAGGUGACCUUGCUCGUGCAUGUGGAUAUUUGCUCAGAUUAAGAAUGUUUCCCACAAAAUUGCUUACUCUCUUUCAUUCUGUCCGUGGUUGCUUGUGGUUUAUUUGUUGAUAACUGAGACUAUUUAAAGAUUGCCAAAACAAAAGCCAUUUCUUUUCUCCCCGAAUAGCCUCAUUUUUUCUAUUCCCUUUUUCCCCUCCUAUUAACAUUUCUGGGGACUCUAAAGCAGAGCUCAAGAUGGUUCAGGACCACGGAGAGCGCAAGGAAGGGGAACUACCAAAGCACUUUAGUCAUGCAGGUGGGGAAAGAGAUGAUCCUAAAAUUGUUUUUAUUUUUCUGUUUUUUUGAGAGGGAGUCUCGCUCUGUCACCCAGGCUGGAGUGCAGUAGCACGAUCUUGGCUCACUUCAACCUCCGCGUCCCGGGUCCAAGCGAUUCUAGCGCCUCAGCCUCCUGAGUAGCUGGGAUUACAGGUGUGCACCACCAUGCCCAGCUAAUUUUUUGUAUUUUUAGUAGAGACUGGGUUUUGCCAUGUUGGCCAGGCUGGUCUCCAAUUCCUGACCUCCAGUGAUCCACCCCCCUCAGUCUCCCAAAGUGCUGGGAUUACAGGCGUGAGCCACCACGCCCAGCCAAUAGUGGAAUUGUUGCCGGACAAUAUUUAUUUAAAAGACAUUAUUGUAAAGAGUAACAGUGUAAUUCUGGCUCCUUGAAAUUUGAGGGGAAUGAUUUUUCUGGACAUUCGACCAGUGCUUUCUAAAUUUCUCCACUGAAUUCUAUCUAAUGACAGAUGAGAGGACACUGAAAGUAGGAGUAGCCAUAAGUCACCAGUGCAAAAUGUCUUUUGAAGUUUGCAUUUAUUGAUUGCUACCAUUUAUGUAAAGUUUUACAGUUUUGACAGUCAUAGGGUUCACCAAUCCACCAUAGAAGAGAAUUAAGUCAUGCGGACACAGCAGGGUUUAGAAUGGAUGAGUAGAGGAGUGUGUGCAGGCUCCAGUCCCCAAAGUCUCUAGGACUGUCCUAGAACCUGCAGCUCAUCUGUCAAUUCUGUCAACUACUCAGGAUCCUCUCAAGAAUUAUCCCCCCAUACCCACCUUUUAAAUUUCCUCAAGCUAGUUUCAUUUGAGUUUUGUCACUUGCAACUGAAUGAGCCCUGCUAAUGCAGAUAGAUUCAAUUGAGAAGGGGAAUUCUAGGCUAGGAGUACAAGGUUACAGGCAAGGAGACAGGAACAUAGCUUGGGAUUUCCUGGGGCAGUGAGAAAACUGACUUUAAAAAAAUGGAAUGGUUUCUAAAAUGUUUGUACAACUUCUCUGUAUGGCAAUGGGGUAGGAGUAUAAAUUCUUUCAGCUUCUUCUGAGGGCAGCUGAACAAGAAGUAUAAAAAUUUUGAAUGCUGAUAACAUUUGACCUAGCAAUUCCAUCUCUAGAAAUAAAUUCUACAGUAGUAAUCUUAAAAACGUAUUCACUGAAAUGUUAUUUUCUCAUAGAAAAUGUCGAAACAACAUAUGUGUCCAUCAAUAGAGAACUUGCUAAAUGAUUUAUACUACCUUUACAUAUUGAAAUACGCAUAGCCGUGGAAGAUAAUUUAGUAGAUCUAUAUGUCCCAUUAUGGAACAAUCCCCAUGGUGGGGGGAAAAGUAAGGUGCAGAACUGUAUCAUAGAUGUUCUCUCUCUCUCUCUUUUUUUUUGGAAAGCACAUGUAUGCUUUUAUAUACACAGAAAAAUUCUAGAAUGGCAAACAAGAUAUCUUUGCAAUAGUUUUUUUCUGGGAGGGGACUCAUUUAAAAAAAUUCUCCCAUAUUGCUUGUUUUGUUUUGUUAAAGACAUCCAUGUAUUCCUACUUGGGUUAAGCCAUGAUAACUAAAUAUGAUUAAAGUUCAGAACAAUAAAAACCUUAGAGAUGUAUACAUAAAUAUCACUUGCUUAGGAAUUUCUAGGUAGGUACUAUUUUAAGCCCUCUACAUAUAUUAUUUCAUUCAAUCCUUGGAGCAACUCUAGGAGGGAGGUGUUAUCCUCUAAUUGCAGAUGAGGUUGAUGAAGCUUAAAGAGUAAUGAUGCCUUGAGUCCAUCCUCUGGCUCCAAAGCCCUUGUAUUUAACUGUUCUCCCUUUUGCAUCCCUGUGCUAAAGUGACUUUGCUAUAAUAUCCACAAGGAAGAAUUUCUGUGUAAAAAUUAGACUUCCUUGCAGGCAGUCUAUCAGUGAUAUCCAAUAAAGACUCAAUAAUGGCUAACAAUACAAACCACACACACAAGAAAAACUUCUCCUUUUGUGCCAGGUACUUAGAUUAGGUGUAGUGGUUUUCUUAAACUGAUUAUCAAGGUAAACACCACCUCAUACAUUUCAGCAGAGAGCAGUGGUUUCUCUCUCCAGCAGUGGGAGCCAUUGAAUCAGGACAAUGCCACACAGUUGGGCUUUCAUGUUAGAUAGAUCACUCUUGUGGUUUUGGGGGAUGGCAUUAUAAGAGAGGAGACUGGAGACAGGGGGGCUAUUGUCAUGCAGAUUUGUUGGAUGUCCACCCAGCAUUCACUUUUUCCAUCUUUUGCCAGGGGUACACUACACAACAUCACCAGUCAUUUCAUAGAAUGGCAAUUAGAUUAGGCUUAGGUCUGCACUGCCUUCCUUCACUCCGCUCUGUCACUUGCCAUCAUUGUAAAUGCUGACAACUUAGUGCCUUUCAUGCUUCAAGUAUCAAUAAGAUAGGAAUAGUAAUAGUAUCACAUUGAAUUAUUGUGGAGUUUUGAACAGAUGAUACUUGUGUUAUCAGUGCUCAAUAAAUAUUAGCUGUCCUCUUCCUUAUUGUUGUUGUCCUCAACUAUGUAUUUUAAAUGGGAUUAGUCACACAACUCCUCAUGUCCCCCACCCAUUAAUACCUGACUCCUUUGCAAAACAAAGCAUAGCAUAUGGUGGUGGGGAUUACAAAAUCGUUACAGAAAUUUCAUAUGUAAAAAAGGGGCAAGAGUUGGCCAGUUUGACACUUCCUUAACCUAUUUUAUUUUUCUUAAAUAUUACAGUAUCACCAGAUAUACUUUCUAUUUAUUUCUUCUCUGAGAGUAUGCAAUUUGUCUGAUGUGUUGCCUGCUGUUUUUGGGUGAGUGAUAAAUAUGAGUUCUAUAUAGGGGGUGAAGAAAGCAUUCCAUGAGUGGGACUGUAUGAACAAUGGAGAAAAGUCAUGAAGGAAAGAUGGCAUUCCAUGUGGACUCGAGUAAAGUGAACAUGAUAUCUUGUCUAUAAGGGGGAUCAUACAUUUAAAGCAUUCAGCAACCUGUAACCAACACAACAGUCUUUCCAAGAAGAAGAGAGUAUGAGCUUUUAGAGGGGAAGAAAAUCCACAUUGGUGAUGCAGGUGGCCAAGACAGGUGCUGCACACACUGGAUUACAGCAUGGAAGAGGAGCCCAGGGUCAUGGAGGCACCCAGCAAGUGGCAAAAUAUGGGCACCUUGACCUACUGGGUUGCCUAUGUGACCAGCUACAGAAGCUGCUCAGUAUCAGGAGCUGGAGCUGCCUGCAAUCUGGCCACUCAGCAAGAAUUUUCAGAGACUGUUUCUAUUCCAUAGUGGAUGCUCCAUCCAACACCAUUCUUUUAAAGUGCGCACAUCUGAUCACUUUCCAAGUAUAAAUGGCCUGAAUUUAUUUUCCUUUCUUUACCAAAAUCCAACCUAAGUAAUUUUUUUCUUUCCAUACUCCUUAUUCAUGAACUCUAAUUGUUGGUAACUUUGAGAGCAUUGGUCAUCUUAAUUUCUUACCACUAAUGACAUGACAAGUUAAUUUCUGCAAUAAGAACAGCUAAAAUUAUUUUUAUAUCUUCUAACAUAAUAUUUUGUCAUGAAUGCUUUCCUAGAAUCUUCCUUCUGGAAUCCUACUUUUUAUGUAGUUUGGAGAUUCUCUUUUCUAAAAUAAAGAUUAGCAUGUAAGAUAAUAAAGUUAUUAUAUAUUUCAUCCAAACUGUAAAAAUACAUUGAAUAUUUUACUUCUUAAUUCCUCUAGGUAAUAUAAAAGUAUUUUAGACAGUUUUAUAUUGUAUUAAUUGAAGCAUAUCAAAGUUGAUUGAUUUCUAAAGACUGUGAACUCAACCCACAUAAGAGGAGGCAAAAGUAAAGAUUAGAACUUGCCAUUUCUAUUCCAGUCCAUUAAUUCUAGCUUAAGCUAUUUCUGAUAAGUGUGUACUCUGGAGAAAAAAAAAAUGUUAUUUGAAGAGUGGCCACUAUAUUUGUUUCUGGCAAAACUAAAGUUUUAAAAUUCCAGUUCCUCAACAAAUGGAAGAUGGAAUUUUCCAGUUCUUCAAAGUAUGAUUUUUAGGACUUGCUACUAAAGGUUAAAUUUUCUCUCUCUAUUAUAACAUAUUCAUGGAUCCUUUAGACAUUAAAGUAAAGUUGGAGUGGAAGAGUAGAAAAUAACAGA